GCCCUCAAAGCUCAGUUGGUUAGAGUUUUGGCAGUGCACAAGUCCUGUCCCUGCUCUCGUGGGUUCGAGUCCCACUGAGGCCG
Molecule: transfer RNA, 83 nt
Filed under: Schistocephalus solidus
Lineage: Eukaryota; Metazoa; Platyhelminthes; Cestoda; Diphyllobothriidea; Diphyllobothriidae
Rfam family: tRNA
About the family: Transfer RNA (tRNA) molecules are approximately 80 nucleotides in length. Their secondary structure includes four short double-helical elements and three loops (D, anti-codon, and T loops).
Source: Rfam by way of RNAcentral